GACGAACGCUGGCGGCGUGCUUAACACAUGCAAGUCGUACGGUAAGGCCCUUUCGGGGGUACACGAGUGGCGAACGGGUGAGUAACACGUGAGUAACCUGCCCACAACUUUGGGAUAACGCUAGGAAACUGGUGCUAAUACUGGAUAUGUGCUCCUGCUGCAUGGCGGGGGUUGGAAAGCUCCGGCGGUUGUGGAUGGACUCGCGGCCUAUCAGCUUGUUGGUGGGGUAGUGGCCUACCAAGGCGGCGACGGGUAGCCGGCCUGAGAGGGUGACCGGCCACAUUGGGACUGAGAUACGGCCCAGACUCCUACGGGAGGCAGCAGUGGGGAAGAUUGCACAAUGGGCGCAAGCCUGAUGCAGCAGCGCCGCGUGCGGGAUGACGGCCUUCGGGUUGUAAACCGCUUUCAGCAGGGACGAAGCUUUUUGUGACGGUACCUGCAGAAGAAGCACCGGCUAACUACGUG
This 465-nucleotide ribosomal RNA is filed under the name uncultured bacterium. Its description in RNAcentral is "partial 16S ribosomal RNA". It matches the Rfam family "Bacterial small subunit ribosomal RNA", at positions 28 to 507 of the family's 1533-position model. The record is from RNAcentral.